AGUUGAAUCAGGAAGACAUCGUUCAUGCUGACUCUAUUUCUCCCCCGCCCCCUCUCUUCCUUUUUUCUGCUUCCAACUCCGUCAUUAGAUUGAGGGCGUUCAUUCUUUCAGUUAAACCAAUCAGAAUUUGCCACAACCUCUGUGAGCCAAUCAUAUUGUUGCUGUCAGACUUUCAAACUGUCUUUUCUCUCCUGGAGGACCCCGACCAGAUAAAAGACUGCAGCAUCACUCCAGCUCCAGGCCUCCCUCCCUCUCUCGCUCCAGCAGCUGGUGGAUCAAGCAGUCUUCAGUGAUCCCACUGAGCCCUUCACAUCCAUUCUGGUUCUGGCCUCUGUGGUCACAGCCCCUCCACCAGGACCCCGACCAGAUAAAAGACUGCAGCAUCACUCCAGCUCCAGGCCUCCCUCCCUCUCUCGCUCCAGCAGCUGGUGGAUCAAGCAGUCUUCAGUGAUCCCACUGAGCCCUUCACAUCCAUUCUGGUUCUGGCCUCUGUGGUCACAGCCCCUCCACCAGGACCCCGACCAGAUAAAAGACUGCAGCAUCACUCCAGCUCCAGGCCUCCCUCCCUCUCUCGCUCCAGCAGCUGGUGGAUCAAGCAGUCUUCAGUGAUCCCACUGAGCCCUUCACAUCCAUUCUGGUUCUGGCCUCUGUGGUCACAGCCCCUCCACCAGGACCCCGACCAGAUAAAAGACUGCAGCAUCACUCCAGCUCCAGGCCUCCCUCCCUCUCUCGCUCCAGCAGCUGGUGGAUCAAGCAGUCUUCAGUGAUCCCACUGAGCCCUUCACAUCCAUUCUGGUUCUGGCCUCUGUGGUCACAGCCCCUCCACCAGGACCCCGACCAGAUAAAAGACUGCAGCAUCACUCCAGCUCCAGGCCUCCCUCCCUCUCUCGCUCCAGCAGCUGGUGGAUCAAGCAGUCUUCAGUGAUCCCACUGAGCCCUUCACAUCCAUUCUGGUUCUGGCCUCUGUGGUCACAGCCCCUCCACCAGUUGACGGUGGCGUAGAGGUCGCUGGGAUCAGCUGAGGCUCCAGCAGAAGAAGAGGAA
Molecule: long non-coding RNA, 1044 nt
Organism: Micropterus salmoides (largemouth bass)
Lineage: Eukaryota; Metazoa; Chordata; Actinopteri; Centrarchiformes; Centrarchidae
Exons: 6
Source: RefSeq, a predicted model, not a curated record